AGGAGCUUAGUAUAAAGGUUAGUAUAAUGAUCUUCAAAAUCAUUUGUGGUUGUUCGAUUCGACCAGCUCCUG
RNAcentral lists this transfer RNA (72 nucleotides) under Serendipita indica DSM 11827. RNAcentral's name for it is "Piriformospora indica DSM 11827 tRNA". It matches the Rfam family "tRNA". Rfam says of the family: Transfer RNA (tRNA) molecules are approximately 80 nucleotides in length. Lineage: Eukaryota; Fungi; Basidiomycota; Agaricomycetes; Sebacinales; Serendipitaceae. The record is from Rfam by way of RNAcentral.